Molecule: ribosomal RNA, 460 nt
Filed under: uncultured bacterium
Lineage: Bacteria
Description: partial 16S ribosomal RNA
Rfam family: Bacterial small subunit ribosomal RNA
Source: RNAcentral
CCUACGGGAGGCAGCAGUGAGGAAUAUUGGUCAAUGGACGAGAGUCUGAACCAGCCAAGUAGCGUGAAGGAUGACUGCCCUAUGGGUUGUAAACUUCUUUUAUAUGGGAAUAAAACGUUCCACGUGUGGGAUUUUGUAUGUACCCUAUGAAUAAGGAUCGGCUAACUCCGUGCCAGCAGCCGCGGUAAUACGGCGGAUCCGAGCGUUAUCCGGAUUUAUUGGGUUUAAAGGGAGCGUAGGUGGAUUGUUAAGUCCGGUGUGAAAGUUUGCGGCUCAACCUUAAAAUUGCAGUUGAAACUGGCAGUCUUGAGUACAGUAGAGGUGUGCGGAAUUCGUGGUGUAGCGGUGAAAUGCUUAGAUAUCACGAAGAACUCCGAUUGCGAAGGCAGUUCACUGGACUGCAACUGACACUGAGGCUCGAAAGUGUGGGUAUCAAACAGGAUUAGAUACCCUUGUAGUC